UGGGGAAUAUUGCACAAUGGGCGCAAGCCUGAUGCAGCCAUGCCGCGUGUGUGAAGAAGGCCUUCGGGUUGUAAAGCACUUUCAGCGGGGAGGAAGGCGAUAAGGUUAAUAUCCUUGUCGAUUGACGUUACCCGCAGAAGAAGCACCGGCUAACUCCGUGCCAGCAGCCGCGGUAAUACGGAGGGUGCAAGCGUUAAUCGGAAUUACUGGGCGUAAAGCGCACGCAGGCGGUCUGUCAAGUCGGAUGUGAAAUCCCCGGGCUCAACCUGGGAACUGCAUUCGAAACUGGCAGGCUAGAGUCUUGUAGAGGGGGGUAGAAUUCCAGGUGUAGCGGUGAAAUGCGUAGAGAUCUGGAGGAAUACCGGUGGCGAAGGCGGCCCCCUGGACAAAGACUGACGCUCAGGUGCGAAAGCGUGGGGAGCAAACAGG
RNAcentral lists this ribosomal RNA (429 nucleotides) under Chloroflexota bacterium. Its description in RNAcentral is "Chloroflexi bacterium partial 16S ribosomal RNA". It matches the Rfam family "Bacterial small subunit ribosomal RNA", at positions 355 to 776 of the family's 1533-position model. The record is from RNAcentral. Lineage: Bacteria; Bacillati; Chloroflexota.